GCUCGUUUUAACGUUCACAGGG
RNAcentral lists this microRNA (22 nucleotides) under Limulus polyphemus (Atlantic horseshoe crab). RNAcentral's name for it is "Lpo-Mir-2001_3p (mature (co-guide))". The record is from RNAcentral. Lineage: Eukaryota; Metazoa; Arthropoda; Merostomata; Xiphosura; Limulidae.